This 284-nucleotide long non-coding RNA is filed under the name Brassica napus (rape). RNAcentral's name for it is "long non-coding RNA (BNAP_LNC008709)". Lineage: Eukaryota; Viridiplantae; Streptophyta; Magnoliopsida; Brassicales; Brassicaceae. The record is from RNAcentral.
AAUUAACUGCUAAUUCAAUUAUUUAACUAACCAGAUCAGAAGUACCAGAAAACAUACUUUGACUAUUUAUGAAAAUGAGAUGGACGGAGAAUAUAAAUGCAGAGCAGUAGCGGAGAGAUUGAAUGGAAAAGAAGAAAUCAGUAAACAGUUUAUCAAAUAUAUAAUAGAGGAAGAGAUGCGAACCAGGAGUCACAACUCCAUUAACGGACACAAUGCUUCACCACCGACACAAAGCUUCCCUUUAAAAAAAGGUACGUCUGAUCUCAACCCUUGGAUUAAAAGAU